This 112-nucleotide non-coding RNA is filed under the name Meriones unguiculatus (Mongolian gerbil). Lineage: Eukaryota; Metazoa; Chordata; Mammalia; Rodentia; Muridae. The record is from RNAcentral.
CUGUUGUAUGAAAGGAGAGAAGGUUAGCACUCCCCUUGACAACGAUGGAAGAGGCCCUUGGGCCUAAGAACACACACACGGUUAAGACAGUCUCAUGUAACCCCCGGUAAUC